Molecule: non-coding RNA, 214 nt
Filed under: Desulfosporosinus sp.
Lineage: Bacteria; Bacillati; Bacillota; Clostridia; Eubacteriales; Desulfitobacteriaceae
Description: T-box sequence
Rfam family: T-box leader
About the family: Uncharged tRNA acts as the effector for transcription antitermination of genes in the T-box leader family. T-boxes are found upstream of many aminoacyl-tRNA synthetase genes and some amino acid biosynthetic genes usually in Gram-positive bacteria.
Source: RNAcentral
AAAAACUCGAAGAAUGUGAGGAAUAGCGUCAGUAAACCGUUCAGAGAGAAAGGUCAUAGCUGGGAGGCCUUUUCGGAAACACGCUUUGGUCGCACAGGAGGGGCAGGGGGGAAUAAUGUACUCUCUGACGGAAAACCCGUUAACGUCUAAUAAGUCCUGAGAGACAAUGCUCCUCAGAAUAAAGGUGGUACCACGGAAGUUUUUCGUCCUUUAC